GACGAACGAUGGAGGCGGGCGGAACACAUGCAAGUCGAACGGAAAGGCCCUGCUUUUGUGGGGUGCUCGAGUGGCGAACGGGUGAGUAACACGUGAGUAACCUGCCCUUGACUUUGGGAAAACUUCAGGAAACUGGGGCUAAUACCGGAUAGGAGCUCCUGCUGCAUGGUGGGGGUUGGAAAGUUUCGGCGGUUGGGGAUGGACUCGCGGCUUAUCAGCUUGUUGGUGGGGUAGUGGCUUACCAAGGCUUUGACGGGUAGCCGGCCUGAGAGGGUGACCGGCCACAUUGGGACUGAGAUACGGCCCAGACUCCUACGGGAGGCAGCAGUGGGGAAUAUUGCACAAUGGGCGGAAGCCUGAUGCAGCAACGCCGCGUGCGGGAUGACGGCCUUCGGGUUGUAAACCGCUUUCGCCUGUGACGAAGCGUGAGUGACGGUAAUGGGUAAAGAAGCACCGGCUAACUACGUG
RNAcentral lists this ribosomal RNA (468 nucleotides) under uncultured bacterium. Its description in RNAcentral is "partial 16S ribosomal RNA". It matches the Rfam family "Bacterial small subunit ribosomal RNA", at positions 28 to 507 of the family's 1533-position model. The record is from RNAcentral.